UACUCCGCCUGUUUCGGCCAGUGGGCGGCGUGCCUGUUUUUUCCGGUUGCGUCUCUGAAUUAAACAAAGGAUUUAGGAUUUUUCACCAGCUCACGAGCAAACGAGCGCGCUCGUGUGCGAGAGCGCGCGGCAGCCUAGCCGUAGCGCGCCAACGCGCAGCUAGCGAGGCUGGGCCGCUGGGCCGCGACGGAGCAGGUUCUUAGGUGGGGCAAAGAGACGGAACACCUCGGGUGCUUGGUGAGGAGAGACAGAGUGGAAGAGGGAAGGGGGCACGUGUGAAGGCAAGGAGGUACCGGGCCGCUCUAGGUGGCGCGGGCGGAGCUGGCCGUCGCUACGCGGGGGACGGGGUCUGGCCGUCGCUACGCCGGGGCGCGGGACGAAGAGGGAGGGGCGCAACAGGGCGCCGGGCGGCGCAGCUAAGGAGCACCCCAGCUACGUAGGGCGCUGACCCUGGAAGUUAAGGACAGUCUAGGUCCGGGAAGAGUAGGUUGCUGCUGUUGUUUUGUGCUGCCGCCGACGAGACCGGCGGGGGGCGUCUAAGGUUGAUCGCUGCGGGGGAGACGAGCGCGCGGGGAGCCUCUAGGGGAUGUCAAGUUGAGGGACCGGCGCGUCAUGUCCCUCCUAGGAGAGCAGGUAUCGCAACGGACAUCCCCAGUACACCUGCUGCCGCUCUUCGUGUUGCUCCACCUACACCACGUCAUGGAAUGUCAUCUAAAGGGAGGGCGAGAAGUAGGUGUCCAAGAGGAAGGAGUUAACCUCGACAAAGGUUAAGGGGACAGCCGUGAAGACAGAAGGUAAUCAUGUUGUGAUCGUUCGUUUUUGUUGUCUCCCCUCCUCUCUCCAUAGCCUCAUAGCUGCUGAUCGUUCGUUUCGUUCUCCUUUUCGCUUCCCCCGUCGCGGUAGGCACGCGGCGCUGGUGGAUCGUCCCACCACGAUCUAGACCCUUUGUAGCAGUGCUCACUAGCUCCUUGACCUGGCGUAGUGGCCAAAAUACGUGUGUGGGUUCGUUCUUCGAAGUUGUAGGUGAAAGUCUAAACCCAGACCUGUGUUGGGCCUGCCAGAGACAUAGGAAGAGUAGGCAGACACAGGCCAAACCGGGUGGACAGUAGGUGGGUGAAGAGAGAGGAGAAAGAGACGUUGUCGGGUGCGUGACGUGUGUAGUGAGGAGGUGGAGAAAGAGAGAGAGCCGGUGUUACGCUACUUGUGCCGCCGGAGGGAGAUCUGCACUACCCACGCCACCGCGAGGGAGGUCCGGCCGCCCUCGCGUGUGCUGUACCGUGUCGCUCCACCAGAUGCGCACCUGUGCCUCUGGUACCGACGUCGCUCCCUCCACUGUCACCGGUCGUUCUCCGUGACGGGUGCCGACCCUCAUGAGGUACCGGUGAGGGCGCGCGUCGAGAAACCGGUGAGCCCGACGUGGCCGCACGUCGAGGCGCCGGUGAGUCCGUACGUUACGGACUGUUGCUGUGGGAAGGAGCAGGUACAGAGGGAGACUCCCACUUUCGUUCCGCGCUUCCGUGAGGGAGGCCGUGGUCCGCACCGUCAUCACCUUCACUUAAGCAGGUCGAGGUCGCACGUUGCUGGACCCAACACGGGUGGACACACGGGAAGUAUACACGAAGAAGAAGGAGAGGUGCGUUAAGGGGAGACAGAGAUGGAUCGUGUAGGACCGCACUCCGCUCCUCAACGACGCUAGAGCAUCGUAGACCAUGAGUCUCGGGUUUAGUUAGACGUAGGCGACUAGACUUUUAAGAGUAUUAAGAGUACUAGAUAUCUAGUCAGGUAGCUAAUCGAGGAUUAAGGUCCGUUUUCCACGCCUAGGGGAGCCGCGCGAGGUUGUUCAGCUGCGAGAGUCGAGCGUACCGCCGCCGUCUCGAGAGGAACCGACUAGACGUCUUUAACCACGUGCUGUGCUAGGUCGUCUCGUUCCGCCAGAGUCUUCGCCCGCGGCGGUGUAGUCUCGUCCACUUGCUCGAGGUCCUUAGAGAGGUGUUCAUGUGCAGGAGCAGUCGGUUCCGUAAGCUACGCGAACGCUUCUGCUUGUGCCUGAGCAACCCGGCACGGCUCCGGUGCGAGCCAGCGCAAGAGUAGCGGUUGUCAAGUGAACUACGUCGUUACCGGGUCUACUUCGACCGCGACCUACCUCACGGCGGAGCUGGUGUUGCGAGGCGGGGCGACACGUACCUUCCUGUCUCGUCAGACGUUCGCGGUGUCCGCUAUCUAGUCGCCCCCGCAGCAGGAUUAGCUGUGGUUGGUGUGCUGUCACUCGUUAUAGUCAAAGCUGGGGGAUGGUCUCUCAUAAAGAGCCUACUGGUCCUCCUGGGUCUAGUGAGGGGACGAUUACCGGUGGCUAGCGUAGUGUUGGCUAUGUUCGGUGUUUAAGGAGUCAGACUAACGGGGUUCAAACUACCUCUCCUGGGGUUUACCACCUUUGUUGCCACACUCUUCAUGAAGACCUACAUGUUACACGUCGUCCUCAAUACCCAGCUAAAACGUUGUUACGUAAAGCGUCCGUUGCGUCGAGCCACCGAAGUCUGAAUGCUUCGGUACGUAUGCCAACUGUCAACCCGUCGAGACACAGAACGCCACAAACGGUUUAAGUUGUCUUUGUUUAUGUGGUCUCUAUAACUACACAAGAAACGUGACUUUGUUUGACUGUGGCACCCACGUAUACGAGUAUACAAACUUCUCGUGUACGUAUUCUACAACCACAUGUUAGUCGGCAUACCGCUCUGCAAGAAGUCAUUGGCGAAACAAGUCCCGGAGUUUGGUCGAUAUUCUCGUGGACAGUUCGACGUCGUCGGCUCAUAUCAUCUAAACCGAAUGAGUGACCGUGUUUGUGUUCGUCGUAUC
Molecule: ribosomal RNA, 2853 nt
Filed under: Triticum aestivum (bread wheat)
Lineage: Eukaryota; Viridiplantae; Streptophyta; Magnoliopsida; Poales; Poaceae
Description: partial small subunit ribosomal RNA
Source: RNAcentral